RNAcentral lists this ribosomal RNA (253 nucleotides) under uncultured bacterium. RNAcentral describes it as "partial 16S ribosomal RNA". It matches the Rfam family "Bacterial small subunit ribosomal RNA", at positions 524 to 776 of the family's 1533-position model. The record is from RNAcentral.
UACGUGAGCCCCAAGCAUUAUCCGGAAUCAUUGGGCGUAAAGGGUCCGUAGGCGGUUAUAUUAGUCACUUGUUAAAGCACCAGGCUCAACCUGGGACCAGCAAGCGAAACGGUAUGACUAGAGAGCGAGAGAGGUGAAUGGAACUCAAGGUGUAGGGGUGAAAUCCGUUGAUAUCUUGGGGAACACCAAAUGCGAAGGCAAUUCACUGGCUCGUUUCUGACGCUGAGGGACGAAACCCUGGGUAGCGAAUGGG